This 107-nucleotide small RNA is filed under the name Marmota monax (woodchuck). The record is from RNAcentral. Lineage: Eukaryota; Metazoa; Chordata; Mammalia; Rodentia; Sciuridae.
GCCAGGUGUGGUGGCCCACGCCUGUAAUCCCAGGUACUUGGAAAGCUGAGGCAGGAGAAUUGCAAGUUCAAGGCCAGCCUGGGCUACUUAAUAAGACUCUGUUUCAA